GAUGAAGAACGUAGCGAAAUGCGAUAAGUAAUGUGAAUUGCAGAAUUCAGUGAAUCAUCGAAUCUUUGAACGCACAUUGCGCCCGCUAGUAUUCUGGCGGGCAUGCCUGUUCGAGCGUCAUUUCAACCAUCAAGCCCUGUGCUUGUGUUGGAGCCCUGCGGCUGCCGCAGGCUCCCAAACCCAGUGGCGGGCUCGUCGUCGUACCGAGUGCAGUAAACAUACCACGCUCAGGGCACGCGACGGGUGACCGGCCGUAAAACCCCCCCCCUUCUCAAGGUUGACCUCGGAUCAGGUAGGAAUACCCGCUGAACUUAAGCAUAUCAAUAAGCGGAGGA
This 335-nucleotide unclassified non-coding RNA is filed under the name soil metagenome. Its description in RNAcentral is "partial contains 5.8S ribosomal RNA, internal transcribed spacer 2, and large subunit ribosomal RNA". The stretch from base 1 to 120 matches the Rfam family "5.8S ribosomal RNA", at positions 35 to 154 of the family's 154-position model. The record is from RNAcentral.